This 199-nucleotide long non-coding RNA is filed under the name Carica papaya (papaya). RNAcentral describes it as "long non-coding RNA (CPAP_LNC004910)". Lineage: Eukaryota; Viridiplantae; Streptophyta; Magnoliopsida; Brassicales; Caricaceae. The record is from RNAcentral.
GAAAAAUUAGUUAAAUUAUUUCAAUAUUCUAAUUUGCUAUCUAAUCUUUGAAUUCGUACGUCUUUGUCUUCUUUAUCAAAAAUAAGUAUUAUAUCUAACCGUUGAUAUACAAAUCAUCUAUUAUUUUUUCUUAUUCUUUCUUGAAAAGCAAUUUACUGACCUACCCACACGUGGCCUCCCCUCAAUUUUCUAAUUCUUA